GGGGAUGCUGCUGGUGCAAAGCCCUGACUACUCCUUACCUAGAUGCUGGACUAGUUUUCAUACUAGAUCCCCUCGUGGCAGCAUUAAGGAACUUCACAUUCUUCUCACACUAUUCAUGGAAAGUUCCUGGAACUCCCACAGCAGCAAGAAAACUUCGCUUGUAGGAGUCCUUAGCACAUCUGUAAAGUUUUAUUGGCCAAAAUGUGAUACAUCUCCAUUUCUGGAUCAGUCACUGUGGUCAAGUGCAAGACGCUCUACAGGACUCAACCUGGGGAUGAGGUCUGUCUACUCCAUCCAUAUGGUCACUUUAUACUGAGGUUGGGGUUGCUGCUUUUUAAGAGAUGAAAAGAUCCAAGGUGUGACACAGAAUGGAUGACUGGAGUGGAAAAAAUGAAAAUGUCAUUGGAAUAUGGAAGUAAAGAAACUGAGAAGCUGAGAGUUUUUGCAUCAUCCAGUCAGUGUUUCUCAAUCGGGAAAGAAUUUGCCUCCCAGAGGACAUUUGGCAAUGUCUGGAGCUACUUCUGUUUGUCACAAUUAGGAUGAGGAAAAUUUAGAUUUAUAAGGAUGUAACUUGGUCAACAUCAUAAAGGUAAGUAGGUG
Molecule: long non-coding RNA, 600 nt
Filed under: Homo sapiens (human)
Lineage: Eukaryota; Metazoa; Chordata; Mammalia; Primates; Hominidae
Description: HSALNT0127868
Source: RNAcentral